RNAcentral lists this ribosomal RNA (486 nucleotides) under uncultured bacterium. Its description in RNAcentral is "partial 16S ribosomal RNA". It matches the Rfam family "Bacterial small subunit ribosomal RNA", at positions 30 to 507 of the family's 1533-position model. The record is from RNAcentral.
AUUGAACGCUGGCGGCAUGCCUUACACAUGCAAGUCGAACGGCAGCACGGGUGCUUGCACCUGGUGGCGAGUGGCGAACGGGUGAGUAAUACAUCGGAACAUGUCCUGUAGUGGGGGAUAGCCCGGCGAAAGCCGGAUUAAUACCGCAUACGAUCCACGGAUGAAAACGGGGGACCUUCGGGCCUCGCGCUAUAGGGUUGGCCGAUGGCUGAUUAGCUAGUUGGUGGGGUAAAGGCCUACCAAGGCGACGAGCAGUAGCUGGUCUGAGAGGACGACCAGCCACACUGGGACUGAGACACGGCCCAGACUCUUACGGGAGGCAGCAGUGGGGAAUUUUGGACAAUGGGCGAAAGCCUGAUCCAGCAAUGCCGCGUGUGUGAAGACGGCCUUCGGGUUGUAAAGCACUUUUGUCCGGAAAGAAAUCCUUGACUCUAAUACAGUCGGGGGAUGACGGUACCGGAAGAAUAAGCCCCGGCUAACUACGUG